Molecule: ribosomal RNA, 253 nt
Filed under: uncultured bacterium
Lineage: Bacteria
Description: partial 16S ribosomal RNA
Rfam family: Bacterial small subunit ribosomal RNA
Source: RNAcentral
GACGGAGGAUGCAAGCGUUAUCCGGAAUUAUUGGGCGUAAAGCGUUCGCAGGUGGCUGUUCAAGUCUGCUGUCAAAGACCGGGGCUUAACCCCAGAAAUGCAGUGGAAACUGAACGGCUGGAGUGCAGUAUGGGUAGAGGGAAUUCCCAGUGUAGCGGUGAAAUGCGUAGAGAUGGGGAAGAACACCGGUGGCGAAAGCGCUCUGCUGGACUGCAACUGACACUGAGUGACGAAAGCUAGGGGAGCGAAAGGG